Molecule: ribosomal RNA, 253 nt
Filed under: uncultured bacterium
Lineage: Bacteria
Description: partial 16S ribosomal RNA
Rfam family: Bacterial small subunit ribosomal RNA
Source: RNAcentral
UACGUAGGGGGCAAGCGUUGUCCGGAAUUAUUGGGCGUAAAGAGCUCGUAGGCGGUCUGUUGCGUCGGCUGUGAAAACCCGAGGCUCAACCUCGGGACUGCAGCCGAUACGGGCAGACUAGAGGCAUGCAGGGGAGAACGGAAUUCCUGGUGUAGCGGUGAAAUGCGCAGAUAUCAGGAGGAACACCGGUGGCGAAGGCGGUUCUCUGGGAAUGUCCUGACGCUGAGGAGCGAAAGUGUGGGGAGCGAACAGG